RNAcentral lists this long non-coding RNA (1159 nucleotides) under Nicotiana benthamiana. RNAcentral describes it as "long non-coding RNA (NBEN_LNC025169)". The record is from RNAcentral. Lineage: Eukaryota; Viridiplantae; Streptophyta; Magnoliopsida; Solanales; Solanaceae.
CUGCAUUGAAUCGGGCCUCCAAGUCGCGCCUCGUGUACAAGGUGAAUUGGAAGGUUUUCCAUAGAAGAAACCACACGGAAAAAUCCUCUCCAGCUUAUUAGUGAUUAAAGGAAUGUGCUGAUCCAUUUAAAAUAGGUUUUCUUCCCUUAACGUGGUAUAACAUAAGGUCUUUGAAGAACAAACUUAUCUCUGUGAUUGGUUUCCAAAUAUUUUCAGGCAAUCCACAAAAUGAAAUACGGAUUAAGGUUUCCAUGAAUAUAUGACAGUCAUGACUUUUUAUAUGAGUCAGCUUUCCCUCAACCAUAUUGGCACGUUUUCCCAUGUUUGAUGCAUAGCCCUCGGGCAUCUUUAGGUUUGUAACCCAUCACAAAUUUGUUUUCUUUGUUCCAAGGUGAAUGUGUAGCUGGCCUUGGGCUUGAACACCUACAUCAUUAGGUUUGUAACCCACUCACAAAUAUGUCGUAUUUGUUCCAAGGUGAAUGUGUAGCUGGCCUUGGGCUUGAACACCUUACAAUUUUUCACAUACUGCAAAUGAAUUCAGGUCACCUGCAAUAUUCUUGUAAGUCCAGUCUAGCCUUCAGGUUAUCUUUUGUCUUAUUCUUAUCAUCCAUCACUGUGUUGAACAAAUUGUCAAAAUAGUUCUUCUCAAUAUGCAUGAAAUCAAGAUUAUGUCAGAGAAGAUUAUCCUUCCAAUAUGGCAACUCCCAGUAUAUGCUCUGUUUUGUCCAGUUAUGAGUAACACCACAUCCAGGAAAUUUAGAAGGUGGGAUCUCGGUUACUUUAAUAAAGUUCUGAACCCUUUCCCAAAUUUCCCCACUGGAAUAAAUUGGAGGUGGCAAAUAAUGUUCAAUUGUGUUCUUUUGAAUGCGUUCUUCAUCCUUCUGAACUCAUGAUCAACCAGCAAGAACUGACAAUAACAAUCAAACCAUGCCUGCUUUCGGCCGUUUUUUAAAGUGAACGCUUUAUCAUUUUCCAUGCUGUAAGGACAUGCUAACUUUCUGGCAGUCAUCCACCCAGACAACAUUCCAUAUACAGGAAAAUCAUUAAUGGUUCACAUUAAGUUAGCACGCAAGUUGAAAUUUUUCUUAGUUUGAUAUAUCAUAUGUCUCAACUCCAUCAUACCACAAUUGUUAAAGCUCAUAAAUCAAAGGUUGUAAAU